This is an RNA transcript of Quercus lobata, 1773 nucleotides long. RefSeq lists it as uncharacterized. The record is from RefSeq and is a predicted model, not a curated record. NCBI's taxonomy places the organism in Eukaryota, Viridiplantae, Streptophyta, Magnoliopsida, Fagales, Fagaceae. The transcript has 3 exons.
AUGAUAUUGUUUGUGUGAUAGAUUAUCGAAUUGAAAUUGAAAUUGGGUUUCAACGCUGCUGGUGGUGGUGGUGGUGGGCCCAUCAAAUGACACACGCGCCAUCAGAGACGCGCUGGUGUUGUCGUCGAAGUCCGCAUUCCUCCAAAAGAGAAAGACUUGGCCAACCCUAACAAAACAUCAUCAAGAUUGCAUCGCCAUUAAUGCCCAUAGCAAAACCUCUCUUCACAAGCUUCUCGAGCUUGUGGAGUUCAAGCUGAAGGAAGUGAUUUCGAGGGAACAUUCUCUACUUAUUUUCAUGAUUGGCGUUCCUAACAUUGCCAAGUCGGUUUUAAUUAAUUCAAUCCAUCAAAUUGCAUCGCCUUGCUUUCCUGGUAAGCUGUACUAUGUUAUGCUAGAUUUUGUUUGAAUGUCAUUGUCUUUAAAUGGAACUAUGGGGAAGUUUAUUAAAUUUUAUUGAACAAUAACUGCUUUUGUUUUCUUUCAUAGUGCAGGAGAAGAUGAAGUGUGCUACUGUCGUCCCACUGCCUGGUUUUCCUUAAGAUAUUGCUGGAUACAAGGUGAAGAGAUUCUGUGUUUUAUGGUUUAUUACCUUAGAAAGUAAAUAGAGACUGAAAUUCUAGUUUCAUGUGUCUUUCACAGAUAUAGUUGAUGUUGUUGCUUUUAUGAGAAGCAGACUGAUUGCAAGGAAUUUAUUUCUCACUUGUGUUAUAUUAUUUGACCACAGAAAAAGUGAUGAUGGCGCUUCAGCCUAGCAUAUGUCCUAGAAACUCCGGGUGUAUUGGUUCCAGGUAUCCCUGACAUAGAGACAGAACUGAAGCUGGCUCUAGCAGUUAUUAUUCUCUUACAAAUAAUUUCUCUUUAGUUUCUUGUGAGAUUUCUUACAGUACACAUGUGAAUGUGCACAAACAUAUACACACAGCUACCUGCACGCUUUUUUAGUUUAAGAUGUGCUAAUCUUGCUUGAAAGAUUAGUGUUGUAAACAUUCAAAAAUGAGUGACUCCACAAUCACGAUUAAGAGAAGUCAGAGACUACUCAACCUGAGCUGAUUUGGUUGCAAUAAAGAAAUUGGAUUCAGCUUCAGUAUAUGUGGUUUUUUUUGGGGGUUGGGGGGAGUUGUUCAAGUCAACAUGAAAUUACUUUUGUCACAUUGUACUCCUUAUUCUAUCUGAUAAAGCUUACCAAAUUCUUAAAUGCACAUGAAGGGUCUGUAAAAGAUUCAGUGGUAGGUGAGGAGCGAAUUGCACAAUACUUGUUGGCAGUUUUAAAUACUCAAGGGACACUCCCCUUCAUAGAAGGGAUUCGAUAUGGUUCUAAGGAAAAACAUGAGUAUAAUCUUAAAGAUCUUUGGCCAAAAAGGAUGAAGCCGCCAAUGACUCUGAUAUGCUUUACAUUGAGUUAAUUUAGGAUUGCUCUCAUUUAAUCAUUUUAUCUAGGAUGACCCAAAGUAUUUUCAAACUUUUUGUUACAUGACAAGUCUGAAAGGAGACAAACUUAACUAUGGGCAUAAGAAAAAUUAUUCUAAGGUCGACAUAGAACUGAAUGAAUUUCGUGAUAAGUCUUAUCGUUGAGUUAUUACACGGGUAUGACACCAAUUUUGUUCUUCUGACUGGAUGGAAAAUAAUCAGAUCAGGAUUUUUGUUGUUGUUGUUGUUGUGACAGUUAAUUUUCUUAUCAUGAAUGAAGAUUAAGUUUUGAUAACAUAUUUUCUGGUCAUGAAUGAUUUAUAGUGAGCUUAAGUUUCGAUAACAUAUUUUACUUGUUGGUUAUGGACA